AGACGUCUACAUUAGAUACCCGUGUAGUCCCAGCCGUAAACUAUGCGCGUUAGGUGUAUCGGUGACCACGAGUCACCGAGGUGCCGAAGGGAAACCGUGAAACGUGCCGCCUGGGAAGUACGGUCGCAAGGCUGAACUUAAAGGAAUUGGCGGGGAGCACCACAACGGGUGGAGCCUGCGGUUUAAUUGGACUCAACGCCGGGAAGCUCACCGGAUAAGACAGCGGAAUGAUUGCCGGGCUGAAGACUCUGCAUGACUAGCUG
RNAcentral lists this ribosomal RNA (263 nucleotides) under uncultured archaeon. Its description in RNAcentral is "partial 16S ribosomal RNA". It matches the Rfam family "Archaeal small subunit ribosomal RNA", at positions 717 to 982 of the family's 1478-position model. The record is from RNAcentral.